UACGAAGGGGGCUAGCGUUGUUCGGAAUUACUGGGCGUAAAGCGCGCGCAGGCGGUUCUCCAAGUCAGUGGUGAAAGCCCGGAGCUCAACUCCGGAACUGCCAUUGAAACUGUUGAACUUGAGGAUGAGAGAGGUGAGUGGAAUUCCCAGUGUAGAGGUGAAAUUCGUAGAUAUUGGGAAGAACACCGGUGGCGAAGGCGGCUCACUGGCUCGUAUCUGACGCUCAGGCGCGAUAGCGUGGGGAUCAAACAGG
Molecule: ribosomal RNA, 253 nt
Filed under: uncultured bacterium
Lineage: Bacteria
Description: partial 16S ribosomal RNA
Rfam family: Bacterial small subunit ribosomal RNA
Source: RNAcentral